This is a long non-coding RNA of Hemiscyllium ocellatum (epaulette shark), 1925 nucleotides long. RefSeq lists it as uncharacterized. Lineage: Eukaryota; Metazoa; Chordata; Chondrichthyes; Orectolobiformes; Hemiscylliidae. The transcript has 3 exons. The record is from RefSeq and is a predicted model, not a curated record.
UGACAGCACCCAGAGGAAGCCCACGCAGACACACAGGGAGAAUGUGCAAACACCACACAGACAGUGGAGUCGAACCAGAGUCCAUUUAUUGACCAGCGCAUUCCAUUAAAGGUCCACACCUUCCUCAGUCUCCUUAUCAAUUAUUGGCAUGUUCUUCGUAUCCUCCACUGUGAAGACUGACUGCUGUGUACUCCUAUUCCUGAACCCUACUGGAUAGCAAUAACUAGGGUGCUAGACGGUGAAGAUUUGCAGACUGAAAUCUCAAACUCGUAUGCAGAUUGUGAUUAAGUUAACCAGCAUUUGAAGAACCAAACAUGGAGAAUAACUUGCCCAAAAUUCUGCAACCCUGUCCCUGACAGCAUUGUCGGUCUCUCUGCGCCAAAUGGACUGUGAAUGGUUCAAGACAGCAGCUCACUACCAUCUUCUCAAGGGUAACUAGAGAUGGGGAAUAAAUGCUGGCUGAGCCAGUGAUGCCCAUAUCCUGGAAAUGGUUUCUAUCUCUAAUUGCUGAGUUUGGGGAGAAUGUGCAAACUCCACACAGGCUGUUGACCAAGGCUGGACUCCAACCUUGUACCUGGUGCUGUGAAGCAGCAGUGCUAUAGAGCAAUUUAAAUCAAAACAGAUGACCCCUGCUCAUUGCUGUUUGUGGAGAAUCAUUGCCCAGAGAGACAUCCUGAGAUUCAGAAAGAGACAAUAUGAAUUCAAUCAACUCCUGCCGAGUUAAUGUGAUUAACAACAACAUCAAUACUCCAACAGUGUUAUGAGACUUCGUACCUACUAUAUCAUUUACGAUUUUUAACCCAUGGGAAGUUUGUUACCAUCUUCAAUGACAGCCAUAAUACUCUGACCACUUUGACAGAGCCACUGCUAGGCAGUUCUAAUAGUUAUCAAUAGAUUGAAUCUAAACAGAAUGCCCCACAACAGGAAGUGCUCUGACACUCAAUGCCCGUAAUUCAAGGUCAUUUUUCUAAAACCACUCGCGUCUGGCAAUACCAUUGAAUGUAUUUUAUACAGGAGUCUUUCAGUCUCAAUUGUCAGUUCCAGUCCAUGAAGCAGCCAGUAACAUGCCAGUGAAUUGAAUUCUAACAGCAGCAUUGCCCUGGCAGGAGAGAUUGAGGAGCUUGAAGCUGUCUUCUCUGGAGUAUCUAAACAUGAAACACUUCAAAUGAACAAAAAUCUUCAAGCGCUCGAUAGGACAGAUACAGGAAGGAUGUGCUCCUAGGCUGAUGUGCCUGGAAUAAAAUAAGCACCAACUAUGGUAUCUUUACCCAGCAUCACCUUAAGCUGCAUCAAUGUUGAAGAUUUAUUUGCUGCCUAAUUCAACUCUCUCGAUCACUCCCAUUUUUCACUGCUGUAAUGUUGAUGACUGUGCAAAUGUAUAAGAUUUAAUUUAAUCCAUCCCAAAGCCUCUCUGUACCUGUGUCUCACUUGUGUUCACUGAGAUGCUCAUUCAAUCUGACCUCUUUACAAACCCUGCCCUGAUAUUUCCUUCGAGGGCUCAGAAUUAAUUAUUCACAGAAUUGUUACUGUACAAAAGGAGGCUGAUUGGCUCAUCAGCUCUCCAAAGGAUCACCUCACUGAAUGCCAUUCUUCUCCCUUUACCCCAUAAACCUUCCAAUAACACCAGCGAGUUCACAACUAACCACAGCGAUCGGAUUUGUUUUGUUUGUUCAUGGGAUCACGGCAUCACUUGCUGGGGCAGCAUUUGUCAUCCAUUCUGACUGCCCAGGAAAUGGUUCAGAGUCAACCCCAUUAUUCAGGGUCUGGAUUGACAUGUCGGCUGGACCAGAUCAGAACUAACACAGUCUCCCAGGCACAAUGACAUGAGGAGUUGAUUUCUGGUCUAUUAUCCUAUUUCAGAAAUAAUAAUGAAUAAUGUUUGCAGUUGAAUUAAAAGUGAAAGACCAAAAUGGGUUUUAUUCUGA